This 699-nucleotide ribosomal RNA is filed under the name Escherichia coli. Its description in RNAcentral is "bacterial SSU rRNA". It matches the Rfam family "Bacterial small subunit ribosomal RNA", at positions 63 to 754 of the family's 1533-position model. Lineage: Bacteria; Pseudomonadati; Pseudomonadota; Gammaproteobacteria; Enterobacterales; Enterobacteriaceae. The record is from RNAcentral.
GGUACACGCAAGGCAGCUUGCUGCUUCGCUGACGAGUGGCGCACGGUUGAGUAAUAGUCUGGGAAACUGCCUGAUGGAGGGGGAUAACUACUGGAAACGGUAGCUAAUACCGCAUAACGUCGCAAGACCAAAGAGGGGGACCUUCGGGCCUCUUGCCAUCGGAUGUGCCCAGAUGGGAUUAGCUAGUAGGUGGGGUAACGGCUCACCUAGGCGACGAUCCCUAGCUGGUCUGAGAGGAUGACCAGCCACACUGGAACUGAGACACGGUCCAAACUCCUACGGGAGGCAGCAGUGGGGAAUAUUGCACAAUGGGCGCAAGCCUGAUGCAGCCAUGCCGCGUGUAUGAAGAAGGCCUUCGGGUUGUAAAGUACUUUCAGCGGGGAGGAAGGGAGUAAAGUUAAUACCUUUGCUCAUUGACGUUACCCGCAGAAGAAGCACCGGCUAACUCCGUGCCAGCAGCCGCGGUAAUACGGAGGGUGCAAGCGUUAAUCGGAAUUACUGGGCGUAAAGCGCACGCAGGCGGUUUGUUAAGUCAGAUGUGAAAUCCCCGGGCUCAACCUGGGAACUGCAUCUGAUACUGGCAAGCUUGAGUCUCGUAGAGGGGGGGUAGAAUUCCAGGUGUAGCGGUGAAAUGCGUAGAGAUCUGGAGGAAUACCGGUGGCGAAGGCGGCCCCCUGACGAAGACUGACGCUCAGGUGC